Molecule: ribosomal RNA, 428 nt
Filed under: uncultured bacterium
Lineage: Bacteria
Description: bacterial SSU rRNA
Rfam family: Bacterial small subunit ribosomal RNA
Source: RNAcentral
UGGGGAAUAUUGGACAAUGGGGGAAACCCUGAUCCAGCGACGCCGCGUGUGUGAAGAAGGCCUGCGGGUUGUAAAGCACUUUUAGUGGGGAUGAAAAGCACAGGGCUAAUACCCAUGUGUCUUGACCUAACCCAAAGAAAAAGCACCGGCUAACUCUGUGCCAGCAGCCGCGGUAAUACAGAGGGUGCGAGCGUUAAUCGGAAUUACUGGGCGUAAAGCGUGCGUAGACGGUUGUUUAAGUCAGAUGUGAAAGCCCCGGGCUCAACCUGGGAAUUGCAUUUGAGACUGAACAGCUAGGGUGCGGAAGAGGGAAGCGGAAUUUCCGGUGUAGCAGUGAAAUGCGUAGAUAUCGGAAGGAACAUCAGUGGCGAAAGCGGCUUCCUGGUCCAGCACCGACGUUCAGGCACGAAAGCGUGGGGAGCAAACAG